ACGUGGAAGCUCCUGUCGAAUGAUUAAACUGUAUCGAACUGAAGUCAAGAUGAACAGGUGACGAAGAUUAUUUUCCCCAAUGAAUCUGAAAGGAAGACAUCAUCCGGCAUACAGAGGUUACAGGGAGUACGUUUUCGGCAGCACCAUUUCAGAGAUUCAGCACCAUUUCAGAGAUUCUAGCAACAACCUGAUUCCUGAAGAGGUGGAGGCAUGCAUGUUUUAACCGAUUCCUAUGAAACGCAUCAAGAGCCCGUGAUGAUCUGUAUUUCUUUGGCCAUGCUUCUCUGUUGGGACAAAUUUCUCCAUGCAAUGAGUUCUAAUAAGCCAAAGAGGACAAGGUCCAUGGGGAGUAAGAGGUGGAAAAAGAGAUGCAGUUAGCUUGCUCUUGGAGGCGACCCAUCCCCUUAAAUAGGCUAAUGCCAUUAGGAGCGGCUAAGAGCCUAAGAUUCAAUGUGCCGGGACAAUUAUUUAUGGCAAGGAUAUACAAUUUUUGCGGGUCACCAAAAUAUGCGAGAGGAGUUUAAGAGUCAUUUCGAAAAUCGCAUCCUGCAAGAACCCAUCCGUCACAUCUUCUGGUAAAAACGAAUUAUACAGUUUGGUUUCAUUUGUGUUGACGAAGUCACUUUUGCUCUGCCAACGUAUCCCGAAGAAAAAUUGUGCAGGGAGAGGACAUAAGUUGCUAAAAUCAAAAUAGGCCGGGCCGUGUGAGGCUAAUUUUCUCAGUCUUCAGCCGCCCAGGUCGCCUCAGCACGACGGAGCAUAAUUCUGCAUUUUCUCAGACUAACGGCAUAAUUCGCUCAAAAUUCCUGUAAUAUUCUCGCGUUUCUAAUACAGUAGAUCUUUAAUAAAAGAUGGAUGCAUCACAAUUAACGUCGCCUUAUGUGGUACUUAAUUUGGUGAAGAUUCAAAUCGAUGAGACAAAAGACCAGCUUCUAAUUUUAUGAUUAUUUUUCGGGAAGCAGUGUGUGCAUUCAUGGUG
Molecule: long non-coding RNA, 979 nt
Organism: Phragmites australis (common reed)
Lineage: Eukaryota; Viridiplantae; Streptophyta; Magnoliopsida; Poales; Poaceae
Exons: 3
Source: RefSeq, a predicted model, not a curated record